Molecule: non-coding RNA, 433 nt
Organism: Maylandia zebra (zebra mbuna)
Lineage: Eukaryota; Metazoa; Chordata; Actinopteri; Cichliformes; Cichlidae
Source: RefSeq, a predicted model, not a curated record
AAUGAGCUGACGCUUGUUGUGAAAUGGGAAUAAGGCCGCGGGUCAGACCGUUUUAAAAGACAGCCUGCUAAUUUUUUUCAUUGUUAGGUUUUGUAUGAUAACGUAGACAUUUUGAACAUGCACUCCCAAAUUUUAUGUGGCGGCACAGCUGCGGCUGUUGCUGCAAGAAGGGUGCGGUAUAUUUUGGGUUGUGUCCUGGGAAGAGACGGCUGGAUGUUCAGAACUCAUGAGGUCAAACUUCUGAACACAGCCUCAGGUGACACAGUGAAGAUUGGUGAGAUCACUUACAAACUCAAGCCACCCCAGAAUCCAGAGCUUGUUCCUGUGAAACACAUUUCAGACUCCCUACCUCAGACGGUGGCUCAACACCUCCGAUGGAUUAUGCAGAAAGACCUUUUGGGUCAGGAUGUGUUCCUCAUUGGCCCCCAGGACC